UCCUGACUGACCGAUAGUGAACCAGUACCGUGAGGGAAAGGCGAAAAGAACCCCGGCGAGGGGAGUGAAAAAGAACCUGAAACCGUGUACGUACAAGCAGUGGGAGCACGCUUAGGCGUGUGACUGCGUACCUUUUGUAUAAUGGGUCAGCGACUUAUAUUCUGUAGCAAGGUUAACCGAAUAGGGGAGCCGAAGGGAAACCGAGUCUUAACUGGGCGUUAAGUUGCAGGGUAUAGACCCGAAACCCGGUGAUCUAGCCAUGGGCAGGUUGAAGGUUGGGUAACACUAACUGGAGGACCGAACCGACUAAUGUUGAAAAAUUAGCGGAUGACUUGUGGCUGGGGGUGAAAGGCCAAUCAAACCGGGAGAUAGCUGGUUCUCCCCGAAAGCUAUUUAGGUAGCGCCUCGUGAAUUCAUCUCCGGGGGUAGAGCACUGUUUCGGCAAGGGGGUCAUCCCGACUUACCAACCCGAUGCAAACUGCGAAUACCGGAGAAUGUUAUCACGGGAGACACACGGCGGGUGCUAACGUCCGUCGUGAAGAGGGAAACAACCCAGACCGCCAGCUAAGGUCCCAAAGUCAUGGUUAAGUGGGAAACGAUGUGGGAAGGCCCAGACAGCCAGGAUGUUGGCUUAGAAGCAGCCAUCAUUUAAAGAAAGCGUAAUAGCUCACUGGUCGAGUCGGCCUGCGCGGAAGAUGUAACGGGGCUAAACCAUGCACCGAAGCUGCGGCAGCGACGCUUAUGCGUUGUUGGGUAGGGGAGCGUUCUGUAAGCCUGCGAAGGUGUGCUGUGAGGCAUGCUGGAGGUAUCAGAAGUGCGAAUGCUGACAUAAGUAACGAUAAAGCGGGUGAAAAGCCCGCUCGCCGGAAGACCAAGGGUUCCUGUCCAACGUUAAUCGGGGCAGGGUGAGUCGACCCCUAAGGCGAGGCCGAAAGGCGUAGUCGAUGGGAAACAGGUUAAUAUUCCUGUACUUGGUGUUACUGUGAAGGGGGGACGGAGAAGGCUAUGUUGGCCGGGCGACGGUUGUCCCGGUUUAAGCGUGUAGGCUGGUUUUCCAGGCAAAUCCGGAAAAUCAAGGCUGAGGCGUGAUGACGAGG
This 1097-nucleotide ribosomal RNA is filed under the name Shigella sonnei. Its description in RNAcentral is "partial 23S ribosomal RNA". It matches the Rfam family "Bacterial large subunit ribosomal RNA", at positions 474 to 1574 of the family's 2925-position model. The record is from RNAcentral. Lineage: Bacteria; Pseudomonadati; Pseudomonadota; Gammaproteobacteria; Enterobacterales; Enterobacteriaceae.